RNAcentral lists this transfer RNA (35 nucleotides) under Amolops vitreus. RNAcentral describes it as "partial tRNA-Arg". The record is from RNAcentral. Lineage: Eukaryota; Metazoa; Chordata; Amphibia; Anura; Ranidae.
GAACCCAAGGAGGCCUCGAGUGAGCUGAAUAGGAU